RNAcentral lists this ribosomal RNA (253 nucleotides) under uncultured bacterium. RNAcentral describes it as "partial 16S ribosomal RNA". It matches the Rfam family "Bacterial small subunit ribosomal RNA", at positions 524 to 776 of the family's 1533-position model. The record is from RNAcentral.
UACGGAGGGUGCAAGCGUUAUCCGGAUUCACUGGGUUUAAAGGGUGCGUAGGUGGAUCGGUAAGUCCGUGGUGAAAUCCCCGAGCUUAACUCGGGAACUGCCGUGAAUACUAUCGAUCUUGAAUACUGUGGAGGUAAGCGGAAUAUGUCAUGUAGCGGUGAAAUGCUUAGAUAUGACAUAGAACACCGAUAGCGAAGGCAGCUUGCUACACAGUUAUUGACACUGAGGCACGAAAGCGUGGGGAGCAAACAGG